Coregonus clupeaformis (lake whitefish) is the source of this 4475-nucleotide long non-coding RNA. RefSeq lists it as uncharacterized. The transcript is spliced from 2 exons. Lineage: Eukaryota; Metazoa; Chordata; Actinopteri; Salmoniformes; Salmonidae. The record is from RefSeq and is a predicted model, not a curated record.
UAGCGGUACUUUUAGUUUAUGGUUAACGAAGCUUGUUGGCCAUUAGCCAAUCAGCGUUUCUCAACGAGUUCAAAGCAUGUGAAUGCAUCCAAUUACCACUUCACAACUGGGUAAUUACCACCUUCCCACUUGGUGAUGAACAUAGCAAUAGCAGCCAAACAGACAGCAAUGCUGGGACCACCUCUGUGCACUUUGACCUAUUGACCUGUCUGUUUCUCUUCUAUGAUUGGACGUAAGGAGAGUGACUGCAGUAGGUCUCUAUGAAGGAACAUUAGGAGAGGAGUAGUGUUGCACUCUGAAUGAGAGUGCCGCUGAGGACGGACAGUGACUCUUAUCAUACAUGUAUGUGAUACAAUGAUGCGUACGGUCCUAUAAUAUGAUACUGUAUGGUACUUUAUCCUACAAUAUCUGAUAUAUAUGGCACUCUUUGAUAAGGUACUGUAUGAUACUAUGGUACUAUACGGUAUGAAAUACUAUGGUACUUUAUGAUACUCUUUAUCUGAAUGUGGCAUUAGCCAUGUCUUUACCAGCAGAUUGGGGGUGGUGAUUGGUUAAUAUGAUACUGUGCAGCUCUGAUGAUUUUUGCCUUCUCUAAUGAAGCUAGUUAAAGACCACCUUACUUACCCCUCUCACCCUUUAUCCCUCACCCUUCAGACCCACAGGAUCUAAGACCAGUAACUCACCCUACCCACUAACCCCUGUCCUCACCCCUAGCCCUUCUCCACCUGCCCUGUCCUGGGCAGAGGUACUUUAAAGGCAAUAUGUUGGACUGAGCUUCUCUGGCUGUAGGUCUCUACAGCUAUGGUCUGGCUGUAGGUCUCUACAGCUAUGGUCUGGCUGUAGGUCUCUACAGCUAUGGUCUGGCUGUAGGUCUCUACAGCUAUGGUCUAACUGUACAUAGGAACAUACUCCACUUUCACCCACCUUUUACUCCUGGGAAUACAGCCCCUCUACAUGUACUGGUUUAUAUCAUAUAGAAGUGUUGUACAAUAGACCAUAAACGUUGGGAUUGUUGUUUUAUAACCAAAAAUAGACCUGGAUGUGACUCAAGACCUGUUUGUUUUCAGACUGAAAGAACCACAUGUAUUCAUUCAUUUAUUUUGUGUAUGAGAAGGCCAUCACAUACAUGGGAAUAUCAGGCGUGUUUGACGAAACCUUGGUUUUAAUGCACUAUAUAAACAUUCACUUACAUUUAAUCAAAGUCAGCACUUACAUGCUUGUUCUAGCCUUAUGUUUUGGCAUUGACUUCAAUGGUGAAUAUCCAUUCAGAAACGUGCAUUAAUUUAAUCAAUUUGAAUAUGCAGGACACUCAGCCAAUGGCGUCAAACCUAAGCCCAAGCCUGAGACUUGAUUGGACAGUGAAGCUGGAGGAGGGCUAAUGAUCAGCAUUUGUAGUGAGUGUGUGGUACUCUGAUGAUUCUGUCUGAGUAAUGGUAGAAAAAUAACAUAACACAAAAUUAAGUAUUGGAAUAGGAAAAACAAAGUCUCAAAAAUAUGUGUGUUUCACAGACUUGUCAGGUGUGGGGUUGUCGGCAUUAUCAAUCUGCAGCUAAACACACUAGCUAGCAAUCAUCUCUUCAGUAUUUCAGAAAAUACCAGUGGGUCAGUAUUUCAUUGGGACCUGUGUCUAAUGUAAACUUGGGAAGCCUCUCCUCUCUCUGUGAGGUUAUUGUCAACUCCAGCAGUUCUGCACGUGCCUUAUGUUUGUUUCUUAAACCAUCACAUCUCAUUUUGGGGGAAUUCAAAAUGGCGGAGAAGUUACUGAGAUUGAAACCACGUACUUAUGAUUGUGCAUUUAUGACACGUGUGUCUUAGCCACCACAACACGGGCACUACCUGUGUCCCUUUGCAGCCAUACGUACAACAGGCCUGAUUCCAUUUCAGUUCCAAGCCCCUUGUGCUCACCCUGGCUCUUUGGAGUGAACAGAUGUGAAAAGGCUUGGUUGAGCACUAUGGGAAAGAAAGGUGGAUCCAUCACCAUGUUGCAUACACUAUUACACACAUCCAGUCCUUUCAUGUCUGAGCGCUGCCAGGAAAAGGGGCCCUGAACUUAAAUGGAACCAGGCCCCGGGCUGUGGACAGGCUGUGCCAGGGGAGUUGUAUUGGGAGCCAUGCUGUCUUAUGUAGUUGUUUGCUAUGCAUCAGGUCUGGCCUGGGCUGUCUGAGGAAUCCACCCUUCCACAAAGACAAAUAAGUGUCUUAUUUACCCAAUAAAACAUGAAGUCAUGUAACCAGAAGUGUGAAUAAUAUCAGUAAUAAUUUGUAAAGUGUUGUGCAGAAAGUGACUAUCAUUUCAUGUCAACUUUAGUGACUGCAGCUCCCUGCAGUGCUGCCUUAAUCAGAAGUGAAGCUCCAGUACUGAAGUGUUUGUCUGUUGUAAAUAGUGUCUGUUCUGUUGUGUUCUGCCUGCAUGGAUACAAUCUGGGCUCAGUUAUGUACGCUGGGAUAGCCUAAACCUAAACCCAUCUUAGACCACAUUUUACAUUAGAACCAGCAAGACCCCAUAAGUCAGUCUAUCCAUCCAUCAAUUAGAACAUUCAUAGCAAGGUUGAGAUCCCAGGGCCUGUGUUAGUGACUCUCAUUGCACUUCAGCCAAGACCAUGAACCCUCAUUGGCUAGCAGCUAUACUCCCCUGAGCCAAUGGGUACCUAGUGCAGCAGUGUGUGUGGGACGUGCUCAGAGGGCAUUACCAAAAAUACACCUGUCCUUGUCAGUGUGUGUGUCAGCUCACACACUGCGCAGAGACUGAGCCUGAACUGGAUCUCCUAACCAAACUACACCUUUCACAGGAGGCCUGGAUCUCUCUAAACCUGUCUAGGGUCUGAGUGUGGUCUAGUUGUAGUCUAGGUUUGGUCUAAGGGGUCUAGAUGUAGUCUAGGUUUUGUCUAAGGGGUCUAGGUUUGGUCUAAGGGGUCUAGAUGUAGUCUAGGUUUGGUCUAAGGGGUCUAGAUGUAGUCUAGGUUUGGUCUAAGGGGUCUAGAUGUAGUCUAGGUUUGGUCUAAGGGGUCUAGAGGUAGUCUAGGUUUGGUCUAAGGGGUCUAGAUGUAGUCUAGGUUUGGUCUAAGGGGUCUAGAUGUAGUCUAGGUUUUGUCUAAGGGGUCUAGGUUUGGUCUAAGGGGUCUAGAUGUAGUCUAGGUUUGGUCUAAGGGGUCUAGAUGUGGCCUAGGUUUGGUCUAAGGGGUCUAGAUGUGGUCUAGGUGUGGUUUAAGUGGUCUAUAGACUUCAGGCUUGGAUGCUCAAUAUUCCAUGGUCGGUCUCUGAUGUUUGAGUUAAAGCCACUAGGAUCUGUCUGUUUCUCUCUCUACCAGCCGAUGUUCCGGUGCCUUCUACAGCUGACUCCUGAUCCUCUGCUUUAACUCUACAUGAGACCCACCGCGUGGUCCAGUACGGUCCCGUACGGUCAAGUUGGGUUUUACGGUCCUUGUUAUGUACUGGAUGCUGUAUUCACUCUGAUCCAACUGUAUGACUGGUAUGACUCCAGGUAGAAGUUUACCCAACCCUAAAUCCCAAUCUUCAUCAUCAGGGGGAUGAAGGAACAUCUGGUUCUGGAUCAGUGGUUAGGGAAGACUUCUACCUCUACACUGAGACCAGUCUGACCAGUCCAAUACAGCCACUGGAGCUGAAUCAUACCGCAUGCGUCUCAAAUCACACCCUACGUAGUGUACUACUACAGAACCUGUUCAAAAGCAGUGCACUAUAUGGAGAAUAUGGAGUCAUUUGAGAAGCAGCCACAGUCUCUACUAAUAUGUGUAGUCAUUAACAUAUAUGUUAUGUUUCCAAGCUUUAAUGUUGUUCAACGCUGAACAUGCAGAUGAAGCAUCGAUGAGGAAACCAAUAAAUGUACUUUGCAAGAGCACAAAAUUAGCUCUUAACUGUGUUGGCAUAAUUUAGUUUGUAUACAUUGUGUAUUUGAACCUUUUUACUAGAGUGGGUUUUCCUUAAUUUGCAUGCUCGACUUGAUUGUAUGCAUAAAGAUUUUAGACAAGCGGAGAAGUUGACUUUCAGUUGCAUUUGGAGCAAGACUUGUACAUUGUUUGAUAUGUUUGUUUUUGUAAUGGAUUUUUAAUUCAUAAAGCAUUUUUGUACAUUGUAUGAAUAUUAAAAAUGGCAAAUAUUUGACAUAUAGAAAUAAGUAAAUACUUAGAUGCUCAUGCAUAUGCAUAUAUCCUUAGUAUGUAUGUGUAAAUGUACACAUAUUUUGUAUUUGCCUUCGCUCAUAUACAGAUAUGUCAUAUGCAGAUAUACAUGCAAUAUGCUGUAUAUGUAUAGCCAUGUCUGCUGGCAUGCAUCUGGUCAUGUUUACCUAUCAUGAUCUUGUAGUUUUUAUUUUCAUUUUGUUCUCUUUUCUCUGAGGAAAAGCUUGUUCUUUUGCUACCGUUUUCCUGGCUGGCCGCAUUGGGCACUUAUUAAGAUGAAAUUGAACUUGUUCAUGUUAUUCAUUGUGUGAAAUAAUAAAUGAGUUUAUUGAAAGCUGA